AUUGAACGCUGGCGGCAGGCCUAACACAUGCAAGUCGAGCGAGCGGCGGACGGGUGAGUAAUGUAUGGGGACUGCCCGAUAGAGGGGGAUAAAUACUGGAAACGGUGGCUAAUACCGCAUAUUGUCGGAUAACCCAUAUGGGAUUAGCUAGUAGGUAAGGUAAUGGCUUACCUAGGCGACGUUCCCUAGCUGGUCUGCUAGGAUGAUCAGCCACACUGGGACUGAGACACGGCCCAGACGCCUACGGAGGCAGCAGUGGGGAAUAUUGCACAAUGGGCGCAAGCCUGAUGCAGCCAUGCCGCGUGUAUGAAGAAGUCCCUAGGGUUGUAAAGUACUUUCAGUCGGGAGGCGUUACCGACAGAAGAAGCACCGGCUAACUCCGUGCCAGCAGCCGCGGUAAUUC
Molecule: ribosomal RNA, 403 nt
Filed under: uncultured bacterium
Lineage: Bacteria
Description: partial 16S ribosomal RNA
Rfam family: Bacterial small subunit ribosomal RNA
Source: RNAcentral